GACAGAGGAGCCAAGCGUUGUCCGGAUUGACUGGGCGUAAAGCGCACGCAGGCGGCCGUGCACGUGGGGUGUGAAAGCUGGCGGCUUAACUGCCAGACGCCACCUCAUACGGCACGGCUCGAGCCCGUGAGAGGUCCACGGAAUUGCCGGUGUAGUGGUGAAAUGCGUAGAGAUCGGCAGGAACACCCAGGGGGAAACCAGUGGACUGGCACGGUGCUGACGCUCAGGUGCGAAAGCGUGGGGAGCGAGCCGG
This 253-nucleotide ribosomal RNA is filed under the name uncultured bacterium. Its description in RNAcentral is "partial 16S ribosomal RNA". It matches the Rfam family "Bacterial small subunit ribosomal RNA", at positions 524 to 776 of the family's 1533-position model. The record is from RNAcentral.